UACGUAGGCAGCAAGCGUUGUUCGGAGUUACUGGGCGUAAAGGGUGUGUAGGCGGUCGGAUAAGUGUGGUGUGAAAUCUCCCGGCUCAACUGGGAGGGUGCGCUACAAACUGUCUGGCUAGAGUGCGGGAUGGGAAAGUGGAAUUCCUGGUGUAGCGGUGAAAUGCGUAGAUAUCAGGAGGAACACCGGUGGCGAAGGCGGCAUCCUGGACCGGCAUUGACGCUGAGGCGCGAAAGCCAGGGGAGCAAACGGG
Molecule: ribosomal RNA, 253 nt
Filed under: uncultured bacterium
Lineage: Bacteria
Description: partial 16S ribosomal RNA
Rfam family: Bacterial small subunit ribosomal RNA
Source: RNAcentral